This 71-nucleotide transfer RNA is filed under the name Danio rerio (zebrafish). It matches the Rfam family "tRNA". Rfam says of the family: Transfer RNA (tRNA) molecules are approximately 80 nucleotides in length. Their secondary structure includes four short double-helical elements and three loops (D, anti-codon, and T loops). Lineage: Eukaryota; Metazoa; Chordata; Actinopteri; Cypriniformes; Danionidae. The record is from Rfam by way of RNAcentral.
GGCUCAUUGGUCUAGAAGUAUGAUUCUUGCUUAGAGUACAAAGGCUCUGGGUUCAAAUCCCGGAUGAGCUC